Molecule: ribosomal RNA, 392 nt
Filed under: uncultured bacterium
Lineage: Bacteria
Description: bacterial SSU rRNA
Rfam family: Bacterial small subunit ribosomal RNA
Source: RNAcentral
AUUGAACGCUGGCGGCAUGCCUUACACAUGCAAGUCGAACGGCAGCGGACCUUCGGGUGCCGGCGAGUGGCGAACGGGUGAGUAAUAUAUCGGAACGUACCUUUCAGUGGGGGAUAACGUAGCGAAAGUUACGCUAAUACCGCAUAUUCUGUGAGCAGGAAAGCAGGGGAUCGCAAGACCUUGCGCUGAUUGAGCGGCCGAUAUCAGAUUAGCUAGUUGGUGAGGUAAAGGCUCACCAAGGCGACGAUCUGUAGCGGGUCUGAGAGGAUGAUCCGCCACACUGGAACUGAGACACGGUCCAGACUCCUACGGGAGGCAGCAGUGGGGAAUUUUGGACAAUGGGCGCAAGUCUGAUCCAGCCAUGCCGCGUGAGUGAAGAAGGCCUUCGGUUG